AAGGAUCAUUAAUGAAUUACAAGUCGGUCAUCUGUGCUGGUGGAAACACAUGUGCACGUUGAUCGCAAAUCCACACACCUGUGAACCUUUGACUCUGAGAUUCGCUUGUGCAAACUUGCAGCUGGUCAACUUUGGUCGGCCUGGAUCUUGGAGUAUUUUUACACACUCUGAAUGUAAUGGAAUGUCUAUGUGCAUAACGCGCAAAAAAACAACUUUCAACAACGGAUCUCUUGGCUCUCGCACCGAUGAAGAACGCAGCGAAAUGCGAUAAGUAAUGUGAAUUGCAGAAUUCAGUGAAUCAUCGAAUCUUUGAACGCACCUUGCACCCUUUGGUAUUCCGAAGGGYACACCCGUUUGAGUGUCAUUGUAAUCUCACUCCUUYRACUUUGUUGUUGUUGGAUGUGGACUUGGACUCUGUCGUGUCACAACGACUGGUCUUAAAUGAAUGAGUGCACCCUGCUGUUGCAGCGUCUUCAGUGUGAUAAGCAUCUUCACUGGAACAAAGUUCCCUUUUGGGACACGCAGGCAUUGUAGGCUCUGUGCUGGCAAACCGUCCUUUUUGGACAAAUCUUUGACAAUUUGACCUCAAAUCGGGUGGGACUACCCGCUGAACUUAAGCAUAUCAAUAAGCGGAGGAAAAGAAACUAACAAGGAUUCCCCUAGUAACGGCGAGUGAAGAGGGAAAAGCUCAAAUUUUGAAUCUGGUGUCUUUGGCGCCCGAGUUGUAAUCUAGAGAAGUGUUUUCUGCCUCGGACCACACAUAAAUUCCCUGGAAUGGGGUGUCAUAGAGGGUGAGAAUCCCGUUUGUGGUGUGGACUACCUUGGCUCUGUGAUACACUCUCAACGAGUCGAGUUGUUUGGGAAUGCAGCUCAAAAUGGGUGGUAAAUUCCAUCUAAAGCUAAAUAUUGGCGAGAGACCGAUAGCGAACAAGUACCGUGAGGGAAAGAUGAAAAGCACUUUGGAAAGAGAGUGAAACAGUACGUGAAAUUGUUGAAAGGGAAGCGUUUGAAGUCAGUCGCAUUGGUCAGAACUCAGCCUGGCUUCUGCCUGGUGUAUUUUCUGGCAAAUGGGUCAGUGUCAAUUUUGAUCGAGAGAGAAAGACUUGAGGAAUGUGGCUGUCUUCGGGCAGUGUUAUAGCCUCUUGUUGUAUGUCUCGGUUGGGAUUGAGGAACGCAGCACGCCUUUUGGCCGGGGUUCGCGCCCUCGGUACGUGCUUAGGACACUGGCAUAAUGGCUUUAAGCGAC
RNAcentral lists this ribosomal RNA (1246 nucleotides) under uncultured Sebacinales. RNAcentral's name for it is "eukaryotic LSU rRNA". Lineage: Eukaryota; Fungi; Basidiomycota; Agaricomycetes; Sebacinales. The record is from RNAcentral.